This 541-nucleotide transfer RNA is filed under the name uncultured Prochlorococcus sp. RNAcentral's name for it is "partial 16S-23S ribosomal RNA intergenic spacer". The stretch from base 212 to 284 matches the Rfam family "tRNA". Lineage: Bacteria; Bacillati; Cyanobacteriota; Cyanophyceae; Synechococcales; Prochlorococcaceae. The record is from RNAcentral.
CAGGGAGACAACAAAAUGUUUAAUAUUAUUAUUUUGUCACCUUAGGUCGAUCGGUACCUCACGUUUUUAAUUUAUUAAAAAUUUCAUUUCCUAAGUUUUUCUAGGUCACACCCAUUAUUUUUCCUGGGCCAUUAGCUCAGGUGGUUAGAGCGCACCCCUGAUAAGGGUGAGGUCCCUGGUUCAAGUCCAGGAUGGCCCAUAUCUCUAUGUUGGGGGUAUAGCUCAGUUGGUAGAGCGCCUGCUUUGCAAGCAGGAUGUCAGCGGUUCGAGUCCGCUUACCUCCACUGAUUACCACCUCUUCCAUAACCGGUAGAAAGGAAAUGUUUUGAGUUGUGAUCAAAUUCUGAAAGAAUCUAGCUUCCUAAUGAAAUCAUUAAGAUGCUGGACUCAUUGAAUUAAUUUCAUUGUUUUCAGAGAACCUUGACAACUGCAUAGAUUAUUUUUAAAGACAAUAAGCAUCUUUAAUGAUGCAGAUUUAUUAUUUGUGCGAAUGCAUUAAUAACAAUUCUAUUAAGCUGAUGCUUCAAUUUUUGAAGUUAUU